GCGCCAAAUCUCGUCCGGAACACUUCGAACAUAUUCGUGCACAGAGCUGCGUCGCAUCGCACACCGAACCUAACCUAACCACAGCAGGACUCGGGCCAACGAAACGUAUCAUCCUGUACAACACAAUCGACGAUCGCGUUAUUAUGUUCGUGUGUAUUAUUAAUUGGAACGGUGCACUAACAAGGUUGUGCGUCGCACGAAACCGGUAGGGCUGGAAAAAAAGGAACCAACGGUUCAUUGAUUGACGACAUUUUAAAUUUUAAAAUGUGUUAACCAUGAUUAUUUUUUUCUGUUCGAAAAUGUAACUCAACGUCUAUAGGUGCCUGAUAAUGUUUAACUAUGAAUUAAACGGCGUAAUGAUGCACGAGUGGAAUACAAUUGAGAACGUUUAUAUCUGCUAACUUUUGUGCAACGUUGCCGCA
Sipha flava (yellow sugarcane aphid) is the source of this 422-nucleotide long non-coding RNA. RefSeq lists it as uncharacterized. The record is from RefSeq and is a predicted model, not a curated record. Lineage: Eukaryota; Metazoa; Arthropoda; Insecta; Hemiptera; Aphididae. The transcript has 3 exons.